UACGGAGGAUGCGAGCGUUAUCCGGAUUUAUUGGGUGUAAAGGGUGCGUAGAUGGAUAAACAAGUUGGUUGUGAAAUCCCUCGGCUUAACUGAGGAAUUGCAACCAAAACUGUAGAUCUUGAGUACUGGAGGGGAAAGCGGAAUUCCUAGUGUAGCGGUGAAAUGCGUAGAUAUUAGGAAGAACACCGGUGGCGAAGGCGGCUCUCUGGUCUGCAACUGACGCUGAGGCUCGAAAGCAUGGGUAGCGAACAGG
RNAcentral lists this ribosomal RNA (253 nucleotides) under uncultured Eubacteriales bacterium. Its description in RNAcentral is "uncultured Clostridiales bacterium partial 16S ribosomal RNA". It matches the Rfam family "Bacterial small subunit ribosomal RNA", at positions 524 to 776 of the family's 1533-position model. Lineage: Bacteria; Bacillati; Bacillota; Clostridia; Eubacteriales. The record is from RNAcentral.